Molecule: unclassified non-coding RNA, 106 nt
Filed under: soil metagenome
Description: partial internal transcribed spacer 1
Source: RNAcentral
GUGGACGCCCUCACGGGCUUAUACUAUUCCAAACCUCUGUGAACCGUGCCCUUCGGGGCUAUUUUACAAACAUGGUGUAAUGAACGUCAUAUAUCAUAACAAAACA